RNAcentral lists this transfer RNA (65 nucleotides) under Camelus bactrianus (Bactrian camel). It matches the Rfam family "tRNA". Rfam says of the family: Transfer RNA (tRNA) molecules are approximately 80 nucleotides in length. Their secondary structure includes four short double-helical elements and three loops (D, anti-codon, and T loops). Further hydrogen bonds mediate the characteristic L-shaped molecular structure. tRNAs have two regions of fundamental functional importance: the anti-codon, which is responsible for specific mRNA codon recognition, and the 3' end, to which the tRNAs corresponding amino acid is attached (by aminoacyl-tRNA synthetases). tRNAs cope with the degeneracy of the genetic code in two manners: having more than one tRNA (with a specific anti-codon) for a particular amino acid; and 'wobble' base-pairing, i.e. permitting non-standard base-pairing at the 3rd anti-codon position. RNAcentral also lists the same sequence under 1 other name. The record is from Rfam by way of RNAcentral. Lineage: Eukaryota; Metazoa; Chordata; Mammalia; Artiodactyla; Camelidae.
GGUAUAGCUCAGUGGUAGAGUGCAUGCUUAGCAUGCACAAGUUCCUGGGUUCAAUCCCCAGUGCC